This 253-nucleotide ribosomal RNA is filed under the name uncultured bacterium. Its description in RNAcentral is "partial 16S ribosomal RNA". It matches the Rfam family "Bacterial small subunit ribosomal RNA", at positions 524 to 776 of the family's 1533-position model. The record is from RNAcentral.
UACGUAGGGUGCGAGCGUUAAUCGGAAUUACUGGGCGUAAAGCGUGCGCAGGCGGUUCGUUAAGUUCGUUGUGAAAGCCCCGGGCUCAACCUGGGAACUGCAAUGGAAACUGGCGGGCUUGAGUGUGGCAGAGGGGGGUGGAAUUCCGCGUGUAGCAGUGAAAUGCGUAGAGAUGCGGAGGAACACCGAUGGCGAAGGCAGCCCCCUGGGCCAACACUGACGCUCAGGCACGAAAGCGUGGGGAGCAAAAGGG